CGAUAGGCCUGAAGCUUGAGCAGUUCAUAUUCGACAUAUCCAUUUAAUCCCUGUCCAUGACACUUUUUGAGGUGCUACACGAAGAGGAAUUUGCGCCAGUGAAGAACGCGAAUGGCACAACCUAUGACACCUGAUGCUACUCCAACUGCAUAGCGGAUGGGUAAUUUCUCACCAUUUCCUGUACCCAGAAACUUGUAGAAUUAAAUUACAAGUCAGGCCUUUCAACAUAGAACUUUUAUGAUCAUCUUUCUCAUGAUCCCUUUCCCUCAUAAGCUUCGAGGUUUCUCCUCUCAGCUCCUAUGCCGGAGAAAGCCUUGAGACGAUUUUUCAUGGACGAGGAUUCCACAUUCCCGGUGAGAUUUCGCUAUAGGCGCAUCAUGUCAUGGCAGCAGCAACAUCAAAUGGGAGAUGCAAUGUUGCAAGGCCGAAACCUUGGGGUACAUUGGGUUUCGACUUACAUGUUACAGGAUAUGCGUAGACGUAAGUUUGACUUUCAGAUAAUACAUGCCAAACACUUUUAAAGUUGUGUCGUGCAUGACAGUGGAAACAUCUGUGUAUUGCACAGGAUCCUACAGAGCAGAUGGGCACAUGUAUGUGUGGAGACUCUGAAAAGAUGAACACAUGAAUACAUACAUGGCAAGAAGGGAUUUUACAAUACCUAGGACCUGGACAGGAAUGCUUGAUGAAAUGCUUCAUAAUAUUUUAGCACUGUUUUUCGGCAGUCCUUGUGGUAGGAAAGUUAUCCAUUCUUCGAAAACUCAUCUACUACUACUCACCUUGUAGAAUUUUUUAUUCUGCUGCAUAUUUGGUUUUAUCAUAAAAUGAAUGGAUUAUUCUGAAAUACAGUGUAACCCCUCCCCCCUCUCAACGAUUAUUAUUUUAGCAUUUAUUUAUUAUUAUUCUUUUGCCUCUUGCUAUUGCUUGCUAAAGGCACAUGCAUACACAAAUCUUUCCUCGUGCCAUUGUUUCUUCUGCAAGCACCUAGCAGUGUAAUUUCAUGAAUCAAAGUAAGAUUCUGCUAUUUGGCCCAAAGAAUUAUCUGAUGAUACCUUUUCCCCUUUCCUUGCUAUAGCUACUGGAUGUUUAUUCUUUUUGAGACAAGAACACUUACUUUUGGCCUACUUAUACUAUCAUGUCGAUUCCUAAUUUAGGAGUGAAUAUGGGCUGUGGACUGCUUUUCUUGCAUUUGCGGUGUGUUUGUUCUUACCCUUUCCAGGUAGAGUAACAUGAAAGAUCAAUAAGUCCUGCUUAAAAGUUUGAUGCACUGUUUGAGCAGUGAUUUUGUUUUUUAUGGUGAGAGUUCCUCGGAUGUUAUUUUUCGCUCAAAUUUUGCAAGAAGCUCAAGCAUUUGAUAAUUAUUUUUGUCUCGAAAUUUCAGAUUUUUUGGAUUUUGUUUUAUCAUGUUUUUUCAGUGUUUUUCGAAAUUCGGUGUACUACACUUGAGAGUUGUCACACCUUUCUAUAUAUCUCAUGGUUUUGUGGCUUAUGCCUUGGAAGCUUUUUGCCAAUGCACAAGUGCAAAGUCCUUUCAUUUUCCUCCUGUAUCCUCAGUUGCGUACUAUAACAUUUGACUAUGUGUCGUGUUGGUCUCAAUGGGCUGGCACAGUACUACAGACUAUGGCUAAAGGCUAUGUUUACAAACAUAAAAUAAUGAUUCAAAGAAUAGGAGCAGACGGUGCUACGAUAUUUACCUCAAGGUGAUGAAUCAAUGAACCGAGGGACUUAUUAUUCGGGAAUCAUUGAAAAAAUGUCUUCUCAUCAAGGAUUGGAUUGUGUUCUCAUUAUAGAACAUAAUUUAUUAUGUGAGGCAUUUGCCAUUGCAACAUCUUGUCUAGGGUAUAUUUUUUUCCAUUAAACUGAACUGCCUCGCAAAAAAAAUGUAUGUAAUACCCUCUUCUCCAUAAAUAAAUGACAUCUGCUUGGGCAGUAGGUCAUGCUUGGCAGAAUCGCCUCCUCCCGGUCUUCAACACUCCUGCAGGAAUUGAGCGCCAGUGUGGUCGGGACACAUAGAACACCAACAAGGGAAAAAAACGCACCACUCCUAGGUCAUGCUUGGCAGAAUCGCCUCCUCCCGGUCUUCAGCACUCCUGCAGGAAUUGAGCGCCAGUGUGGUCGGGACACAUAGAACACCAACAAGCGACAAAAACGCACCACUCCAAUAUGCAGCCAGAGUUUGGGCAAUGAUCAAAACGUGGCUUGGUUUACAUGAUGUUCAUCCUACGGACUGGGGAGGCAUGGUUUCCGUCAAGGAGUGGUGGCGCAGCAACACUUAAGGGAGGUCGCAAUCUCGAAGGCCGCUUGUUUCCCUUAUUCCUAUCUCUUGGGAAAUCUGGAAUGAGCGAAAUGCUCGGGUGUUCCGCAACAAUGCGACUCCGGUCGUUGUGCUUGUGACACAUCAAAGCGGAGGCAUCAUCGGGGUGCCUUGCCGGACGAAAUAUUUGUGUAAUAUAAUGCCGCGAGAGUGAUUCUUAAAAUCUUCGUCUUAUUCAAUGAAAAUGACAAGCCUUUGGACUUGUUUCAACAUAAUAUGGACCCGAAUGGAGUGAAAUGUUUAAUAUGUGCAUACCAUUUCUGGAUUGAGAGAUCUAUUUACUGAUGGCUGGUUUUUAAAGAUGUCUUAUAAAGUUGUGAAAUUCUACGAGAAAAGGCUUAUGAGUGGAAUUAAUGAGGACGGUGCUUGUGAAGUUUCCUCCAUAGCUCUUUUGCAAUCAAUCAUUCGUCUGUUAUUAUGGUUGUUCCAUUGUAUGCAUGCACAUUGGAAGGCAGAAAGUAAUGUUGGCUGGUCGCCAGAGAAGUAAAAAGGCCAACAUCUUGAGCUGUAUGGAGCAUGGUUGUUUUCUUGAAGUUUCUGAUGGAUUGUAUACCAUUGACUGAGAGGAAUCGUUCAUUCAUGAGAAUGGGACAAGAGCAUUGCUAGAUGGAAUUCGGCUGAGUGUAAGUACACAUGAGAGGUGUGUUUUCAUUGAUAGAGGAAGGGUGAGAGCAUGACACUUGUACAGGAAAAAGAAAGAAAUGGGAACCAAAAUUUAAAAGUAAAGAGAAGAAUGCUAUGAUCUCAUGAUAAGAUGUCGGUCACCAGCGAGCACCCACAUGAGCAAACCUAUAAUAGGUCCUAAGACACAUAAUAUGUGAUUAAGGGGCAUAAUUGGAUUAUGAGUUUGGACCAGAGAUACUUCCUAAAGUUUAUGCAUUGUAGCCCAGGCAACAAGUAUGAGUUGUCACACCUUUCUAUAUAUCUCAUGGUUUUGUGGCUUAUGCCUUCCUAAAGUAUAUGCACCAGAACAGGAAUCACCGGCGACAAAGAGAAACGUAGAUUGGAAGGAUCUAACU
This is a long non-coding RNA of Triticum aestivum (bread wheat), 3330 nucleotides long. RefSeq lists it as uncharacterized. The transcript has 7 exons. The record is from RefSeq and is a predicted model, not a curated record. Lineage: Eukaryota; Viridiplantae; Streptophyta; Magnoliopsida; Poales; Poaceae.